This 468-nucleotide ribosomal RNA is filed under the name uncultured bacterium. RNAcentral's name for it is "partial 16S ribosomal RNA". It matches the Rfam family "Bacterial small subunit ribosomal RNA", at positions 28 to 507 of the family's 1533-position model. The record is from RNAcentral.
GACGAACGCUGGCGGCGUGCUUAACACAUGCAAGUCGAACGGAAAGGCCCUGCUUUUGUGGGGUGCUCGAGUGGCGAACGGGUGAGUAACACGUGAGUAACCUGCCCUUGACUUUGGGAUAACUUCAGGAAACUGGGGCUAAUACCGGAUAGGAGCUCCUGCUGCAUGGUGGGGGUUGGAAAGUUUCGGCGGUUGUGGAUGGACUCGCGGCUUAUCAGCUUGUUGGUGGGGUAGUGGCUUACCAAGGCUUUGACGGGUAGCCGGCCUGAGAGGGUGACCGGCGACAUUGGGACUGAGAUACGGCGCAGACUCCUACGGGAGGCAGCAGUGGGGAGUAUUGCACAAUGGGCGGGAGCCUGAUGCAGCAGCGCCGCGUGCGGGAUAAAGGCCUUCGGGUUGUAAACCGCUUUCGCCUGUGACGAAGCGUGAGUGACGGUAAUGGGUAAAGAAGCACCGGCUAACUACGUG